GAAAGUGUGGCAUAGUAGUUUGAGUGUUGGACUGCAACUCUGCAGACCAGGGUUCGAUUCCCAGCUUGGUCA
This 72-nucleotide transfer RNA is filed under the name Phrynosoma platyrhinos (Desert horned lizard). Its description in RNAcentral is "tRNA-OTHER". Lineage: Eukaryota; Metazoa; Chordata; Lepidosauria; Squamata; Phrynosomatidae. The record is from RNAcentral.